UACGUAGGUGGCGAGCGUUGUCCGGAUUUACUGGGCGUAAAGGGAGCGCAGACGGAACUGCAAGUCUGAUGUGAAAGCCCGGGGCUCAACCGCGGGACUGCAUCGGAUACUGUAGAUCUGGAGUGCCGGAGGGGCAAGCGGAAUUCCUGGUGUAGCGGUGAAAUGCGUAGAUAUCAGGAGGAACACCGGCGGCGAAGGCGGCUUGCUGGGCUUCAACUGACGCUUAAGCGCGAAAGCUAGGGUAGCGAACGGGAUUAGAUACCCGU
RNAcentral lists this ribosomal RNA (266 nucleotides) under uncultured prokaryote. Its description in RNAcentral is "partial 16S ribosomal RNA". It matches the Rfam family "Bacterial small subunit ribosomal RNA", at positions 524 to 790 of the family's 1533-position model. The record is from RNAcentral.